CUUGGGAACUUGCCUUUGCGAGGGGGAUAACAGUUGGAAACGACUGCUAAUACCGCAAAAUGUCUUCGGACCAAACGGGGCUUAGGCUCCGGCGCAAAGAGAGGCCCGAGUGAGAUUACCUAGUUGGUAAGGUAACGGCUUACCAAGGCGACGAUCUCUAGCUGUUCUGAGAGGAAGAUCACCCACCCUGGGACUGAGACACGGCCCAGACUCCUACGGGAGGCAGCAAUGGGGAAUAUUGCACAAUGGGGGAAACCCUGAUGCGCCCUUGCCGCGUGUGUGAAUAACGCCUUCGGGUUGUAAAGCACUUUCAGUUGUGAAGAAAAGAUAUUACUUAAUACCUGCUACCCGUGACGUUCACAACAGAAUAAGCACCGGCUAACUCCCUGCCCUCAGCC
This 398-nucleotide ribosomal RNA is filed under the name uncultured marine bacterium. Its description in RNAcentral is "bacterial SSU rRNA". It matches the Rfam family "Bacterial small subunit ribosomal RNA", at positions 116 to 516 of the family's 1533-position model. The record is from RNAcentral.